AAAAAUCUGUAACCCUUAUAUCUGGCCAUGAGAAGUCGGCCAGGACAAGGACAGAUCUGUGUCACCGAUUCUGUGUCAUUAGCCAACUCCCAAAGGAAGAUGGAGCAAAGGAGAAGCAAAAGGUCAUGUACCUUGAUUUCUCAAGAGCGUGUAGUUUUAGGCCAGAUAAAAUGCUCGAGAUAGCAAAGAGCUUUCCCUUGCAUGGAGACAAUUUGUUGAAAAAUAUGACGUAUGGUAGAAUUUCUAGAAUUUCUGCUAAAGAUAUUUAUAAGGAACAAAAGAAGUUAUAUGAUGAAGCAAAGGCAAAAA
Molecule: long non-coding RNA, 309 nt
Organism: Rosa chinensis
Lineage: Eukaryota; Viridiplantae; Streptophyta; Magnoliopsida; Rosales; Rosaceae
Exons: 3
Source: RefSeq, a predicted model, not a curated record